Molecule: ribosomal RNA, 132 nt
Filed under: Microcebus murinus (gray mouse lemur)
Lineage: Eukaryota; Metazoa; Chordata; Mammalia; Primates; Cheirogaleidae
Source: RNAcentral
GUCUAUGGCCACACCACCCUGAACAGGCCUGAUCUCAGAAGCGAAGCAGGGUCGGGCCUGGUUAGUACUUGGAUGGGAGAAGUUAGAGUAGAUGAUGGAUCAGUGAGCAAAAGCUGGGCUCAGUCAAGGGCC